Molecule: ribosomal RNA, 479 nt
Filed under: Dioszegia sp. LC-2007-1
Lineage: Eukaryota; Fungi; Basidiomycota; Tremellomycetes; Tremellales; Bulleribasidiaceae
Description: eukaryotic LSU rRNA
Rfam family: 5.8S ribosomal RNA (bases 139-292)
Source: RNAcentral
UCCGUAGGUGAACCYGCGGAAGGAUCAUUAAUAAAUGAGCGCAAGCUUUUCUAUUAUCUUUCUACACCUGUGAACUAUUUGCCUUYGGGCACUCUUACAAACAUAAUGUAAUGAAUGUAAUCUACUAUAAAYAAAUAUAACUUUCAACAACGGAUCUCUUGGCUCUCACAUCGAUGAAGAACGCAGCGAAAUGCGAUAAGUAAUGUGAAUUGCAGAAUUCAGUGAAUCAUCGAAUCUUUGAACGCAGAUUGCGCCCUUUGGUAUUCCGAAGGGCAUGCCUGUUGGAGUGUCUUAUAAACCUCACCUCUAUAGUUUUCUAUAGUUGUGCUUUGGGUGUUGCCAUUYRUUUGGCUCGCCUUAAAUGUCUAAGUGGAAUGCGUAAUAAGUUCUCGCAACCCUCCACUCUAAUUCACUUUAUAUUCUGACCUCCAAUCAGGUAGGACUACCCGCUGAACUUAAGCAUAUCAAUAAGCGGAGGA